RNAcentral lists this long non-coding RNA (538 nucleotides) under Ictidomys tridecemlineatus (thirteen-lined ground squirrel). RNAcentral's name for it is "lncRNA (ENSSTOG00000030988.1)". Lineage: Eukaryota; Metazoa; Chordata; Mammalia; Rodentia; Sciuridae. The record is from RNAcentral.
UUGGUCGCCUAUCGCAAUAUGUCGCCUGGGGGCGGGGGGCUGCGGAGUCGUCCAGCGCGCGGGCGGGAUUGGCUGGAGACCUGCCGCGCCGGCGUCUUGGAGUGCCCAGGAGAGCGCGCAGGGCUGCCCUGGCUGCUGAAGGACCAAGCAGGUCCUGAAACCACGGAGCCUGAGCCGGUCAAGGCCAGUCCAAGAAGGAAACCUUCAGUCUGAAGCCGCGGGGCCAGAGGUGGAAGGUAGCGUGCCGCUCACGGCCCUCGAGCGAGCGGGGAAUAGGCAGCGGCCUGGCGGCUUUGAAAACGCGAGAGCCGACUGGGAGACCCGCUGAGGGCUCUCGGCUGCUGCCAGGGCUUCUCAGGGGUCCCCUCGACCCCUCCGCCCUCCCCUCCCAGCAAGGCUGGUGCCCAAGUGUCUCUGACAGCAUUCGGUGCCCAGGACAGAAGGUGACUUGGGUACUGAACUCUGAGCCAGCUGAACGCAUCUACCUAGUUUUGUUCUAAUCCGGGGAGACUUGCUUUUCCUUCUUGGUAACAUCGUC